GUCGAGAAUAAUUCACAAUGGGGGCAACCCUGAUGGUGCAACGCCGCGUGGAGGAUGAAGGUCUUCGGAUUGUAAACUCCUGUCAUCCGGGAGCAAGACCUGGCCGUGAAUAGCGGACAGGGUUGAUAGUACCGGAAGAGGAAGGGACGGCUAACUUCGUGCCAGCAGCCGCGGUAAUACGAAGGUCCCGAGCGUUGUUCGGAAUCACUGGGCGUAAAGGGAGCGUAGGCGGCGCGGUAAGUCAGAUGUGAAAUCCUAGGGCUCAACCCUGGAACUGCAUCCGAUACUGCUGUGCUUGAGCAAUGGAGAGGUAGCCGGAAUUCUCGGUGUAGCAGUGAAAUGCGUAGAUAUCGAGAGGAACACUCGUGGCGAAAGCGGGCUACUGGACAUUUGCUGACGCUGAGGCUCGAAGGCCGGGGGAGCGAAAGGGAUUAGAAACCCUAGUAGUCC
RNAcentral lists this ribosomal RNA (450 nucleotides) under uncultured bacterium. Its description in RNAcentral is "partial 16S ribosomal RNA". It matches the Rfam family "Bacterial small subunit ribosomal RNA", at positions 354 to 796 of the family's 1533-position model. The record is from RNAcentral.